UAGUUUACCUUUAGUACUGGUCUAUAAACUAACCUACCACUGUCUACAUGUUAUAGUUUACCUUUAGUACUGGUCUAUAGACUAACCUACCACUGUCUACAUGUUAUAGUUUACCUUUAGUACUGGUCUAUAGACUAACCUACCACUGUCUACAUGUUAUAGUUUACCUUUAGUACUGGUCUAUAGGCUGUAUGAGUUAGACAGUGACACACAACACGUUCAACCGAAAAUGUCCAUUCAUCCAUAUUCCAAGACUUCCUUUAGCUUUGCAUUCAUCCCUUCAUUAGGUCUUUCAUCCUGUCUCCUUACUUUAUGUAUCUAUCCAUUUAUAUAUCCUUUUUUAUUCAGCUAUCCAUCCAGUCUUAAAUGAAAAAGCCAUUGAAAAUGAAGAAAUGUAUGGUUGAAGGGAGGUUACUAUAGCUCAAACACACUUCUAAAUGUCUUCCACUAGAUGCACCAUCAUACUUCGCUCCCCAAAUGAAAGCCUAAAACAUUUCUAAUUCCUUAUGAGUAUUACAGCUUGCAUUACAGAAUUGUUCUACUACCAAUCAAGAGGUACAGUUUUAGUAACCGCAUCACCUAAUUUAUCUAACUUUCCACAGUUGAAUUAACUGCCAUGGAACUUUUCAGAACUUUCAAAUUAUAACAAUGGGGGAGCACAUAAGAUUUAUGUCACAGAGCUUACUCCAGCCCAAUAAACUAAUCUACUGCUGUUUGUCUACAUGUUAUAGUUUACCUUUAGUACUGGUUUGUUGGCUGCCUUACACAGUACUAAACUGUGGUUUCCAAGUAGGAGAGUAAACGUGUAGUAAUCUUAUUUGUGAUGAAAUAUGUGAUCCACUGCCCCACACGCCCAAAUUAUUAAGGUUAAUAGUCUAUCAAAGUAACCAGACAUUUAUAUAUUUAACUUUGACUAUAUUUCACCGCUUCACUUAGAAUGUUUUAAAAACUUCUUCCAUGACCACAAAAAUACUUUGAAAGAGCUGAAGCAAGUCACACAAAUUUUUUUUAUGAAAAAUGACAAUCUAUUUUUACUCCAAUGUUUGUAAACAAACACUGUAAAGCCUCGUAACAUGGUUAAAACUACACAUUUGGUAUCAUGGAUGGUCAGUCCUUGCAUCCAUAGAUCCGUUUAUGAAUUUGAGAUUGGUUACACUUCUCCAGCCCCAUCCCUAAGCAGCUUUUUUGUAAAGAUUUUUGUUGGUACUUUUGACCCGUUUCGUGAUCUCCAAAUUGGUAGUUAGUCUUGUCCCGUCGCUGCAACUCCCGUGUGAGAGAGUGAGUGAGUGAGUGAGUGAGUGAGUGAGUGAGUGAGUGAGUGAGUGAGUGUGAGAGAGAGCCAUGCGUCCUCUGAAACAUGACCCUGCCAAGCUGCACUGCUUCUUGACGCACUGCUCGCUUAACCCUGAAGCCAGCCGCACCAACGUAUCGGUGGAAACACCAUACAGCUGGGGACCAAAGUCAACGUGCAUGCCUAAAGCGAGUCGCUAGAGCGCAAAUGGGACAAGAACAUCCCAGCAGGCCAAACCCUCCCCUAAUCCGGACGACGCUGGGCCACUUGUGCACCGGUCAUGGGUCUCCCGGUUGCGGCCGGGAGCCCUGGAUCGAACCCGGAUCUGUAGUGAUGCCUCCCCCUUAGCUUUUUAGGUAAACAGGAGCACGCUUUGCUAUUGUUUCAAUGAAGGAUUCUGGCUUUAAAAUGUCAAAUAAAGAAAACACAAAGUAGAUAGAUAUUAAGCAAUAGCAAUUUAUUUAAACAUAACCAAUCCUAAGCCACAACACUGAAUGACAAGACUCAAAUGCUGUAGCAUACAUUGUAUAAAAUCGAUCAGGUUUCAAUGCCUUGGUUUGUUAAGUUUCUCCUGUAUUGUCAGAAAGGUCAAUGCAGAUUACGCUGUUUCACUAAAAUCAUUAAAUCAUGUCUUUUAUUCAUUUUUGUAACAUUUUGUAAGAAAUAACCAUUCAGUAGCACACAAUUAUAUAACAAGGCAAAGUGCUUUCAAGGAUUGCAUUGUCACAAAAUAAUGAACAAGUUGGAGAUUUGUUCAGGGCUGGAAGGGUAUUUGUGUGUGUCUCUUUUAGGGAAUAGAUCUCUAACCCCUAUUACUGUAUCUCACAUUGCUAUGCUUCAGUCAAAAAGUCGAAGGUCGUUUGGUUGGGAGAGGUGAUCGGAGUUGUGGUAGCAUGAUCACAAAUUAAGGUCUAGAUUUGUUUUUCCUUUUGAAGGCUUAAGGCUGGAUGCAAUAAGAUUUCCCUUCACAAACACCACAUGCGACAUAUAUCCAUAAUUUGACUUCAAUAACAGCUUUAGUUAUUUGUUGCUUUUGUAAUUAAGUUAGAUGCGCACACAUUCUCCCAAUCUCUGGUAGUUGUACACACAGUUGCAGCUGUAAACUAGACUUUUAGACGUAUGGCCCAACUUACACACUUACAGUAAAGACCCACCAUACUAUGAAAAACAGGAUGAUUACUGGUGGAUAAAGGAUACUUUCAGGAGGGGGUUUAAAAAGCAAUCAUAAAGUACCUUGUUGCAACAAGUAUCUGAAGGAUAGCAAACAUGUACCAGAGACGAGGUUCACAUGUAUGCUACAACAGUUAGACCUUAAAAGAGAUUUAAUUCAAUCAUAAUACAGUUUGGCUUCACAUUCCAGUGGUUGUUGGGAUAUCAUUUUUCUUUCCAUGUUACAAGCGCAAGUACACACACACACACACAAAAUCAAGCUCACUUUUUUUUGUCUUUUAGAUCAAAAGUGAUUAAUAUGCGUUCAUAUUUUUCAGACACUAGUAUACAGUGAGCUACAAAAACAAAGAGUAGCUGUGCAUCAAGGAGGUAGGCAAAAUAAAACAUGAUCAUAUCAAUUACAUUAGUAGUAAAAGUAACUUUCAAAAUAGCAUGGACAUUUGAGGUGAGACCAUUUGUUUUAAUUUAAAUGUAUUAAUUGUAACUGAUAUAUUUUUGAGGUAAUAUGGAUUCAAAAAUCACACGCUAAUAAAACUUAUAAGAAAUGUUUACUGAACGCUCUAGAAAAUACUGAAUGCAGGCAUGCUCAAGCUCUUCACCAGGCAGCAGUACUUCAAAACAGAGCCUAAGGUGCCAAAGAGAAAGCAUUUCAUGCACUUCCACACUUUCAACCUCCUAAUUUAUAGUUUGGCCUAAAUGAAGCACAAUAACACUUUCAUGAUCACCUACAGUUCAUGCUGAAGUCACAUGGGAAGUCAUCGGCUUGGCAUAUUUUAUCCCUUCUACGGACUACAACCAGAUAGGGACUAUUAGUGGUUAAAAUAUCUGCCUAACAUUCAACUUUUUGACCAAUUACUAACUUUAACCCGAAACUUCCAAGACGGUGAAAAAAAAUUGCAGCGAAACAAGAAGCCAAUGAAAUUCUAGCAGAGGCAAUAUGGACAGUCAAAGCACAUAAUAAUUCAAGGUUGUAGCCCGUAGACCGGGCUUGUGUUACAUUUUGCUUGGCUGGUCUAUUGGAGUAAACAAAUCCUAGCGUAAUACAAAGCAAUGUCCAAUGAUUUUGAAUCAAACCGAGACGCCCUCCUGAAUAAGACGCUAAUAUAUCCAGAACCAAAAUAAAAGGACUACCAACCACCAACGUCAAGCGUUCAAUUACACCAGUGCUUUAAAUGUCAUUCAAAAGGUCUGUUAAUGCAUAUUAGGCUACCCCACAUAGCACAUAGGAUACUGUACUAGAAAGCAGUAAGCCUAACCUUACGUUAUCAUUUAUUUUCAAAUAUGCUCAAAUGAACAAUCAAAUUUAAAAGGAGUCAACCAAAAACUGUUACAGGCCAUUGCACCAGAAUCUUACGUACAUCACUUGUGUUUCAAAGGAAAUGUAUUUCACGUUAAUAAGAAAAAAAAGAAACAAUAUUCUUUACGGCAUUUAUGAACCAGGAAGUGGGUAAAGAAAUACAAUAGACAGGAAUGAAUACACACUUUUUCUUUGCCCUUUUUCUGAUAGCGGUUCAUAUUACCGUCGCACACUCUUGACCUCAUACUCACUAAUGAAGACAUGACAGCUAACUGCCCAAAUCAUCACACACGAACACACUUAAAAACACAGAACUCUAUGCCUACUCACUGUACUAUAAAAGUAAUCAAAACAUUGUUAAGUUUUAUGGCAUAGCAAUCCUUGUCCACAAAAUACAAUCUUCUUCCACCACCUAUUCUUAGGACAUGUUGCAGUACAGAGAACAAGCUAUAUACACACACACACACACAACUAAAGGGGUUGCAUACAAACUAGCCUAUAAAAUGCCUAAGCCACAACUUUUAAUUCGUGAUUAUCUUAAAUCUGUUCAUUUUGUAGAAGGGGGGGUUAUACAGACGACAACUAAAACUACAUCCCGAUCAAAUCAACAUACCGCUAAAAUGGUACUACAAAUGUCACAACUAUAAGUCUUGCUUUAUAAUAAUUUACCAUGUUAAUUUCAAUACCAUUUAGUUAAGUAAAUCAACAACAAUCUCUACACACUACUCUGUCUGAAGUGCAGUUUAGUGAUGUUGUGCUUAGAACACCCAACAAAGUGCACUUGCCAAUAUUGCUUUUAUUAUGAAUUCACACUAAAACUCCAGUAUUAUCACUACUGGGAUUCAACACUAUUUCAAUGUGUUUUUUCAGGUCCCUUGACAAAUAUGGCAGGCAAGCAAGCAAGACAAAGGCAAGAAUCAAACGAGAGCAAAAUAAACUACAGUCAAGUUGUACAUCCAGAGGGUGUUUGGAUUCAUGACAUCAGCAUGAGUGUUUCUUUGUAUAUUUCUCCAACCAAUUAACAAUUGCUCGAGGAGUUGAAGCCACAGUGGACGACAUGGAUGAUAAGACUGGGAAGCACUAGAAUCAUGUUGUGUUUUGAAUUAACAACAAUGGCUCACUGGCUUCACCGGGUCUGUAAUUGUGAGCAGUUGUGUUCCUGGGAGGUGUGACCUCCACUUUUAUCAACAAUAAGGCUUUCAAUUGGCAUGAACGGAAGACCAUUUUGCUGAUGUGUAAAAUAAAAACUUUUUUUUCAAGGACUUGGUUUUCGCUCAAUGGUUUUGUAAGGACACAGUUUAGUAUGCCCGUCUGUAUCACGACAAAGUGUCAGUCAGGAUUGUAUUUGGUGGUAAUAGAGGAGCUGAGUUUCGCAGUUUACAAGGUAACAUUCUUUAACUAUAACAAUUUUGACCAGCCAUGUGACAUACAGUAUAUGAAGAAAUACACAGAAGUCUCAUAAAUAAGUUACUUUAUGAUGUGGAUCUAAAACAACUUCCGGUCCAAGACAUUUCUCUCCUUUGGUUGCCUAUCGAGGCAUUUCUUUAAUGGAAAUACCAUGAUUCAAUAUCCUAAUUUAACCUUUAUUUACCCAGGCAAGUCAGUUAAGAACAAAUUCUUAUUUUACAAUGACGGGCUACCCCGGCCAAACCCUCCCCUAACCCGGACAAAACUGGGCCAAUUGUGCGCCGCCUUGUGGGACUCCCAAUCAUGGCAGUUUGUGAUACAGACCCAGGAUCGAACCCGGGUCUGUAGUGCCUUAGACCAGUGCGCCACCCAGGAUUCCUACUUGCAUUGCCCCAUCCAAUGGGUGGCUGUCAAGAAGCAGUCGAGUCAUAAAACCAUCAAAUCAAAGAAGAAGAAAAAAAAGUGACAAAAAUAGUUGCAUAAUAUGUAUCACAUUUACUCUCCAAUGAGGUCCAAUAUAUCAAUAAAAUGCACUGGUUUGGGUAAAAAUCAUUGCGAGACAUAACAUCUUGAGGUAAGCUGUUCAAUGUCUGAUAACGGCUAAUCAAGUAAUACAUGAAGGCAGACAAAAAUAGUGUGGACAUUACUAUCCACUAAGGAGACAACACCAGUGCAUCCCUCUAUAGUCUUUUUGGAGGGUCAACUCAGUAACUGUCCUUGAAGAGGAAGAGAAGACAGACAAAAGAAAGCAAUUGGUGGGUCUACAUUGUCUCUGAAGUAUUUCAAAGAAGCCAAAUACUGUUAGAGAAUAAAGUCAACCCAUAUCAGUUUGCUUUGUUUUGAACAAGUUACUAAGCCUUAACUAACUUCAGAGGCACAAGAGUGACAAACGUAAUCAAACAAGUCAGGACCAGACAACAUGGGCCACACAACCUGAGGGUCGAAUAGCAGAAAAGUGGGACCGACAGUUUGGUUCAAGAAUUUGAAUAAGCAUGUAAAUCUUGUCAACGUAGUAGUAGUUGUACAACAUAAACAAAUGAAUAAUGAAGCCAUAAACAUAGCCUAGAAGCUAUAAAAAUCAAGAAUCUUAACAUGGUCAGACAUGCUAUCUUCUCUAAGAAACAUUUUGUCUACAUAGAGAUAGGACGGACAUGCAGCAGUUGGAAUCAUGGAAGAACUUAAUAGUGUGCUUCACGCAUGAAUCUGGACAUUGAAGAUGACAUAAUUCUGUCAAUUUCAAGAGGUGUUUGUUUUGGUGAUCAAAUGUAAUUUAUGACUAUAAACGUCAUGAGAUGAAUGAAUCUUGUUUAAUCCAUUUAAUAUGAUGUACCGCUUUUUUACAUGCUUACUUUUUUUGAGAAAAUUGUAGCCAUUUAUUUUCAACAAAUUCUAAUAACAAAGAAAGCUCUAAUUCUGCAGUUUAUAUUAUGCUUGGAGAAGAGGAAAUGUUCACGGUGUUCUCUUGAUUUGAAAGAAUCCUUUCAAAAUGGGAAUAAAAAACUUUUAAAAAAGGUAACUGCCUAGCUAUUGCCUUAAUCCAAUGCGUUUUCAAGUAAUGAAGGACAUCGAUGUCCUAGAGGUAAGUGGGAGAUAUCCCAGAGGACUGUGUUACAGACAGCAUCACCAUGGUGAUCACUGGCAUAACUAAAAGAAACCAACAUGCUCUUUGUUUCAAACUUCUAUCCCUUCCACACCUAAUUUAGAGGUUAUUGAAUGAGCAUGACAUAAGUGUUCGAUACCAUAUGAAUGCUUUCUCACUAGAAGGACCAUAGUGUCUCAUCAAGAUAAAGGCAGCUACAUUUGGCCACUAUAUCAAUAGUGUAUGUUCUUCCUAUUCUCCAAUUUCAACGCGACCCUACUUAGUCUCUCUUCCCACUCACAUAUCUGAUGGCAACAUUUUGUCAGUUGCCCAACAUCCAUAAGUACUCUUAAUCUAUACAUAACAAACAAAAAGGAAUGAAAUGAAGAUGUGCUGAAUCUGUUUCCUUCCAAAGUUUUCAAUAGUUCUUUCCAACUUCUCCUGUAACUCAGUUAACAGUACGCUGACUCAACUACUUCUGUGCAAUUUUACCAUCUUCUACCCUACUACCCAUACUGCUUUUUCAAAAUACAACUUGAUCAGUCUUCCACCAUGCACAUUCACAAUUAUCUAAUGCUAUCCAUUUCACUCCAUCCACUGGCCAAAGCGCCCAUGUCUCUCAUUCCUACAAACUGAAGCAUUUUGAGAAAGUUGUCCAUCUUUGCCAUUUGAGCCAUUGUAAGGUAUUAUCGUCCUUAGUCCUUUACAACAACAAAAAAAUUCUACACAGAUGCAUUUCCAUACCAUACUGAUAAUAACAUUUCAGAUGUUGCAUGUGAGACAUCAACCAAAAAUGGUGUCUAAUUGAUACAUUAGUAAAUGCAUUAGAUGCUAUCCAGAAUUACAAUUCUACCUUCAUAAAAAAGGAUAAAUUAUAAAGGAUCUAAUCCUCUUAAAAAAAUUUAAAAAAAACUUGUUCCUCUUUGUGCUGAGCAUCACACAAAUACCAUCUCCACUGAGAAUCAAAGACAAUUCCUUUUUUCGUAGACAAACAGGGAUUUCUAGGGCACUUGUGAGUCUAGGUAACAGAAUGGGGUGUUAUUAAGGUAGACUGUUUCGAUGGACAAAAACGGACACAUUCCCAAAAUGUAAAAAUCGGCUAUGCGCUACAAACAAAAUAUAGAGUACAAAAAAACAACUAUACAUCAUUUCAGAGAGGUUUUGUAAGGCAAACUUGAUAGCAGUCCAUGGUGAGUCCAUGGUUAACAGGAGGGAUAGCAGUCCAUGGUGAGUCCAUGGUUAACAGGAGGGAUAGCAGUCCAUGGUGAGUCCAUGGUUAACAGGAGGGAUAGCAGUCCAUGGUGAGUCCAUGGUUAACAGGAGGGA
RNAcentral lists this long non-coding RNA (8070 nucleotides) under Salmo salar (Atlantic salmon). RNAcentral's name for it is "lncRNA (ENSSSAG00000089366.1)". Lineage: Eukaryota; Metazoa; Chordata; Actinopteri; Salmoniformes; Salmonidae. The record is from RNAcentral.